AAAGAAUUAGUUAAAGUAUAACAUAAAUAUGUCAAAUUUAAAUUAUUAUAAAAAUAUUAUUCUUUU
Molecule: transfer RNA, 66 nt
Filed under: Biston thibetaria
Lineage: Eukaryota; Metazoa; Arthropoda; Insecta; Lepidoptera; Geometridae
Description: tRNA-Asp
Source: RNAcentral